CCCAGGACUCAGAAGACAGAGGCAGAUGGAUCUCUUGGUAUGUAUGGGCAGCACACUUGCAAUAUCCAUGAAGGUCAAGAGAGGAUGUCAGAUCCCCUGGAACUGAAGUUAAAGACAAUUUAUGAGCCACCAUGGAAUCCAGUGAAGAGCACUGUGAGGGUGAGAUCUGCCAACAAGUGCAUCAUCCCAAGUUCCACGGUGCUCAGCUCAGCAUCAACCCACAAUGCAUUCAGGAAACCGACACCUUCAUAGCCGCUUUAGAGGAGCUUUGCAGAGAAGAAAAGGUGAAGUGACCCCUGCCUGUGUGGGAAGAAUUAAGAUCCCUACAAGUCAAAGUAAAUAAAUAGU
Long non-coding RNA from Mesocricetus auratus (golden hamster), 348 nucleotides. RefSeq lists it as uncharacterized. Lineage: Eukaryota; Metazoa; Chordata; Mammalia; Rodentia; Cricetidae. The transcript is spliced from 3 exons. The record is from RefSeq and is a predicted model, not a curated record.